GUUGUGAAAAAAAAAAAAAAAAAAAAAAAAAAAAAAAAAG
RNAcentral lists this non-coding RNA (40 nucleotides) under Alexandrium minutum. Lineage: Eukaryota; Dinophyceae; Gonyaulacales; Pyrocystaceae. The record is from RNAcentral.